CCUACGGGAGGCAGCAGUGGGGGAUAUUGCACAAUGGGCGGAACCCUGAUGCAGCGACGCCGCGUGGGUGACGGAGCGUUUCGGCGCGUAAAGCCCUAUCGGCAGGGACGAAGCUGACGGUACCUGACCAUGAAGCAGCGGCUAACUACGGGCCAGCAGCCGCGGUAGUACGUAGGGGGCAAGCGUUAUCCGGAUUUACUGGGUGUAAAGGGGGCGCAGACGGCAAUGCAAGCCAGGAGUGAAAGCACGGGGCCCAACCCCGGGACUGCUCUUGAAACUGCAUGGCUGGAGUACAGGAGGGGCAGGCGGAAUUCCUAGUGUAGCGGUGAAAUGCGUAGAUAUUAGGAGGAACACCAGUGGCGAAGGCGGCCUGCUGGACUGUGACUGACGUUGAGGCCCGAAGGCGUGGGGAGCAAACAGGAUUAGAUACCCUGGUAGUC
This 440-nucleotide ribosomal RNA is filed under the name uncultured bacterium. Its description in RNAcentral is "partial 16S ribosomal RNA". It matches the Rfam family "Bacterial small subunit ribosomal RNA", at positions 338 to 795 of the family's 1533-position model. The record is from RNAcentral.